Molecule: non-coding RNA, 690 nt
Organism: Bemisia tabaci
Lineage: Eukaryota; Metazoa; Arthropoda; Insecta; Hemiptera; Aleyrodidae
Source: RefSeq, a predicted model, not a curated record
UCCGAAUGUCAAUGGGUAAAACCUUUAGAUCCCAUUUUAUUUUUUUAUAUUUUCUUCACCUGACAAGAAAAUCAUUAAGUUUCAGGGAGUAAUAAUUGUUUCAGUUAAGCAUUCGGCCAUAUCUUGAAAUUCAUGAAUGACACUUACAUUUUAAAUUUUCGAAGACCGAUCAUCCUUAUUUGUACAAGAAAUGUGUUGUUUUUUUUUCAGCUUUUUUAUGCUUGUGAGAUGAGAUUUCAUUUUAACUUCACUACAAUGAACAAGAGAAUGAUAAAAUCAUGAACAUGGAAAGAACAGAUCCAUAUACUUACUGAGACACACAUCAUCCAGUAAAUGCAUAGCAAGAUGAUCUAUGCCCAAAUCUCCUAUCAUAGGAUUUUGAUUCAAAGUGAUACGUUUCAAGCCAUCGCUAUUUACUGUUCCUUCUGUGUUGGCUGGAUGAGAAGUCGGAGACCAAACUUCCCUGGAGCUAAUUGACGAAUGCUCCUGAAAAUGAAAAAAUUACAUUUUUGACUGAGAAUCGGGUAUGUAAUUACUUAAUUAAGGAAAAAGAGGGCUUGAAGCUGAAAAUUUAUAUAUUAAAAAAUGUUACCUCUGCUUGGAGGAGUGGUUUAUGAAAAUCUUUGUAUAAUGCUGUGAAACCUAACUGUAGUUCGGUAUAAGCAAAAUAAAAAAGAAUGAUGAAAUGAA